This 223-nucleotide long non-coding RNA is filed under the name Zostera marina. RNAcentral's name for it is "long non-coding RNA (ZMAR_LNC004039)". Lineage: Eukaryota; Viridiplantae; Streptophyta; Magnoliopsida; Alismatales; Zosteraceae. The record is from RNAcentral.
AAUUAUUUCUAGAAAUGGAAAUCGGGAAACAUGACUUGGUUCGCGACUUAUCAUAGAAAUAGGAUUAAUGUUAAUAAUUAACUAGUAGAUAGGGUGAUAGACAGACACAUAGGGACAUGGGGGAUCAGAGAUUAAAUGAGAGACGGCAAAGAAAAAGCACGGCACAUGGAGAUCGAUAUAUUUUCGGCCGACGAUCACCGACCAUUGAUCUCCCAUGUUUUCG